AACUGAGACUUUGCCCUACUCUAUCUGGAGGAGCAUGGUGAUGUUCGGACUGGCAUCCUGACGAGUACGCGGCGCAGGAGAGCCGUAGUUGUAACUUUCUCUUUUGUAGACAACGAUGUCCAGAGCAUAGCUGGUUAUUUCUGCCAGCAUCACGUUAGACGCAGAAGCAACCGUAUCGAACUUCUGCGACUUAAUGAUCAGCAGCCGCUUAUAAGUUAUUCCUAAAGGUCACUAGUCAACUGCUGAUUGGCAGUGAAACCUGGAAGUCUAGACUGCCGUAGGGGUAGAGGGAAUUCGCGGUGUAGCGCGAAAUGAGUAGAUAUCGUGACGAACCCCAGUGGCGAAGGCGCUCUAGUGGGUCCGCAACCGACGCUGAGCGACGAAAGCUAGGGGAGCGAAAGGGAUUAGAUACCCCUGUAGUCCUAGCCGUAAACGAUGGAUACUAGGUGUUGCGCGUAUCGACCCGUGCAGUACCGUAGCUAACGCGUUAAGUAUCCCGCCUGGGGAGUACGCACGCAAGUGUGAAACUCAAAGGAAUUGACGGGGGCCCGCACAAGCGGUGGAGUAUGUGGUUUAAUUCGAUGCAACGCGAAGAACCUUACCAAGGCUUGACAUCCUACGAAUCUCUUGGAAACGAGAGAGUGCCUACGGGAGCGUAGAGACAGGUGGUGCAUGGCUGUCGUCAGCUCGUGUCGUGAGAUGUUGGGUUAAGUCCCGCAACGAGCGCAACCCUCGUUUUUAGUUGCCAGCAUUGAGUUGGGCACUCUAAAGAGACUGCCGGGGACAACUCGGAGGAAGGUGGGGACGACGUCAAGUCAUCAUGCCCCUUACGUCUUGGGCUACACACGUACUACAAUGCUACGGACAGAGGGCAGCGAGCAUGCGAAUGCAAGCAAAUCCCAUAAACCGUGGCUCAGUUCAGAUUGCAGGCUGCAACUCGCCUGCAUGAAGGCGGAAUCGCUAGUAAUCGCAGGUCAGCAUACUGCGGUGAAUACGUUCC
RNAcentral lists this ribosomal RNA (1000 nucleotides) under uncultured cyanobacterium. Its description in RNAcentral is "bacterial SSU rRNA". The stretch from base 123 to 1000 matches the Rfam family "Bacterial small subunit ribosomal RNA", at positions 1 to 1374 of the family's 1533-position model. Lineage: Bacteria; Bacillati; Cyanobacteriota. The record is from RNAcentral.